Molecule: long non-coding RNA, 564 nt
Filed under: Selaginella moellendorffii
Lineage: Eukaryota; Viridiplantae; Streptophyta; Lycopodiopsida; Selaginellales; Selaginellaceae
Description: long non-coding RNA (SMOE_LNC002324)
Source: RNAcentral
AGAGCAAUCCUGUACCGAGCUGGCCAGUCGAGAACUCCAGAGAUUUUUGUGCUGGGGUGGUGCAGGACGUCGCCCAAGCUGCCAUUUGGUACGUACUCAUAUACUAACAGGUUGGUUUCUCCAUUCGAGCAGCAGCAGAGAAGCCUAACGAUGUUGAAGUGUCGAAUUCUUCCCAGGAUGUUAACCUCAGUGUUGAAGCCGUAGUCGUUCCGGAUCUCCGCUUUGUCACAGGACCACAGCUUUUUUAUUGCGAGGUGGCUAUACUCGUUGUUGCUCUUUAACGUUGCCUUGUAAACUUUUCCAGCACCUCCGCUGCCGAUGACAUUUUCUUCGUCCAACGAUCUCAUAACGUCGUCCAUCGUGAACGUGAGUUUUUGGAACGGGGUCAUUGUCCAUGGCUCCUCCUUGCACCCGUCCCUCGUUUUCGAUGGCUGAUGGCAUCUUUUGUACAGAUAGUAUGAGCACAGGGCUGACGCUGCCGCUGCCGACGCAAGAACACUUCCUGCUAUCCAGGCCAUCAUGCCAGGUUGUUUGCGGAGUCUAGAGGAAUCCGCUUGGCAGUUC